UACGUAGGUGGCAAGCGUUGUCCGGAAUUAUUGGGCGUAAAGCGCGCGCAGGCGGCUUCUUAAGUCUGAUGUGAAAUCUCGGGGCUCAACCUCGAGCGGCCAUUGGAAACUGGGAAGCUUGAGUGCAGAAGAGGAGAGUGGAAUUCCACGUGUAGCGGUGAAAUGCGUAGAUAUGUGGAGGAACACCAGUGGCGAAGGCGACUCUCUGGUCUGUAACUGACGCUGAGGCGCGAAAGCGUGGGGAGCAAACAGG
This 253-nucleotide ribosomal RNA is filed under the name uncultured bacterium. RNAcentral describes it as "partial 16S ribosomal RNA". It matches the Rfam family "Bacterial small subunit ribosomal RNA", at positions 524 to 776 of the family's 1533-position model. The record is from RNAcentral.